RNAcentral lists this ribosomal RNA (253 nucleotides) under uncultured bacterium. Its description in RNAcentral is "partial 16S ribosomal RNA". It matches the Rfam family "Bacterial small subunit ribosomal RNA", at positions 524 to 776 of the family's 1533-position model. The record is from RNAcentral.
UACGUAGGGUGCGAGCGUUGUCCGGAAUUACUGGGCGUAAAGAGCUCGUAGGUGGUUUGUCGCGUUGUCCGUGAAAACUCACAACUCAAUUGUGGGCGUGCGGGCGAUACGGGCAGACUGGAGUACUGCAGGGGAGACUGGAAUUCCUGGUGUAGCGGUGGAAUGCGUAGAUAUCUGGAGGAAUACCGGUGGCGAAGGCGGCAUCCUGGACCGGCAUUGACGCUGAGGAGCGAAAGCCAGGGGAGCAAACGGG